UUCCCCUGGGGUGGGGCAGCAAGCCCCAAUAAAAAGGCCCUCUGCUGCAUCAGUGCCAUCCUCCUGCUACUCAAGUCCUGAUAGACUUUGGAGAAACUGAUUCUAAGACUCCAGAAAAAUGUCUCAGCAGCAGCAGCAGUGCAAGCAGCCCUGCCAGCCACCUCCAGUAGUGUGCCCUCCCAAGUGCCCUGAGCCCUGCCCACCCAAGUGCCCGGAGCCCUGCCCACCUCCCAAGUGCCCAGAGCCCUGCCCACCUCCAAAGUGCCCUGAGCCCUGCCCACCUCCAAAGUGCCCUGAGCCCUGCCCACCUCCUCAGUGCCAGCAGAAGUGCCCUCCUGUGCCACCUCCCCAACAAUGCCAAGAGAAGUGCCCACCCAAGUGCAAGUAACAGCAUCAGCUUUUAUCUGGAUCAGGAAAGGAUAAGGACAGUUGACUCACCUAGCUCCACAGCUCUACCUUUGCCUUCUCUUCAAAUCCCAUCAUGGAUACAGAAGGAGCUUCUCCACCCUUCAGCCAGCAAUAUGCCUGCGGCGAUUUCAGACAGCUAGAGGUUUCCUUUCUGAUGUUGCUAUACUGCUUUGCUCUUGGAAGUGCCCAAGAAAGCAUCACAAAGCUUCAGAAGGAAGAACAGCAGCUCUUCUCCUGGGUCCCAUCAGAGGAUUCUCUCACUGUCUUCUGUGUCUGUCACCUGGGCAGGGGUUUCUACAGGCUGGAAAAUUGUUACUUAUCCUCUACGUCCUGAAUAAAGUAAAAUUCCUUUGAUGUUAAAAA
Long non-coding RNA from Capra hircus (goat), 771 nucleotides. RefSeq lists it as uncharacterized. The record is from RefSeq and is a predicted model, not a curated record. The transcript is spliced from 2 exons. NCBI's taxonomy places the organism in Eukaryota, Metazoa, Chordata, Mammalia, Artiodactyla, Bovidae.